Molecule: ribosomal RNA, 1471 nt
Filed under: uncultured Bordetella sp.
Lineage: Bacteria; Pseudomonadati; Pseudomonadota; Betaproteobacteria; Burkholderiales; Alcaligenaceae
Description: partial 16S-23S ribosomal RNA intergenic spacer
Rfam family: Bacterial small subunit ribosomal RNA
Source: RNAcentral
AGUUCGAUUCUCUGGCUCAGAUUGAACGCUGGCGGGAUGCUUUACACAUGCAAGUCGAACGGCAGCACGGACUUCGGUCUGGUGGCGAGUGGCGAACGGGUGAGUAAUGUAUCGGAACGUGCCUAGUAGCGGGGAUAACUACGCGAAAGCGCAGCUAAUACCGCAUAAUACCCUCUGGGGAAAGCGGGGGGACCUUUCGGGCCUCGCACUAUUAGGAGCGGCCGAUAUCGGAUUAGCUAGUUGGUGGGGUAACGGGCUCACCAAGGCGACGAUCCGGCUGGUUUGAGAGGACGACUGGCCACACUGGGACUGAGACACGGCCCAGACUUUACGGAGGCAGUGGGGAAUUUUGGACAAUGGGGAAACCCUGAUCCAGCCAUCCCGCGUGCGAUGAAGGCCUUCGGGUUGUAAAGCACUUUGGCAGGAGGCGAAACGGCACGGGAUAAUACCCCGUGCAACUGACGGUACCUCUGCAGAAUAAGCACCGGCUAACAUGCCAGCAGCCGCGGUAAUACGUAGGGUGCAAGCGUUAAUCGGAAUUACUGGGCGUAAAGCGCAGGCGGUUCGGAAAGAAAGAUGUGAAAUCCCAGAGCUAACCUUCGGAAUCCAUUUUUGACCACCGAGCUAGAGUGUGUCAGAGGGAGGUGGAAUUCCGCGCAAAGGGAACGUGGAUAUGCGGAUACACCCGAUGGCGAAGGCAGCUUCGGGAUAACACUGACGUCAUGCACGAAAGCGUGGGGAGCAAACAGGAUUAGAUACCCCUUGGUAGUCCACGGCCUUGAAACGACGUCGUUCUAGCUGUUGGCCUUCGGGCCUUGGUAGUGCAGCUAACGCGGAAGUUGACCGCCUGGGGAGUACGGUCGCAAGAUUAAAACUCAAAGGCGAAUUGACGGGGACCCGCACAAGCGGUGGAUGAUGUGGAUUAAUUCGAUGCAACGCGAAAAACCUUACCUACCCUUGACAUGUCUGGAAUCCCGAAGAGAUUUGGGAGUGCUCGCAAGAGAACCGGAACACAGGUGCUGCAUGGCUGUCGUCAGCUCGUGUCGUGGAGAUGUUGGCGCUAAGCUCCCAACGAGCGCAACCUCUUGUCAAGGUUGCUACGAAAGGGCACUCUAAUGAGACUGCCGUGACAACCGGAGGAAGGUGGGGAUGACGUCAAGCCCUCAUGGCCCUUUAUGGGUAGGGGCUUCACACGUCAUACAAUGGUCGGGACAGAGGUCGCCAACCCGCGAGGGGAGCCAAUCCCAGAAACCCGAUCGUAGUCCGGAUCGCAGUCUGCAACCUGACUGCGUGAAGUCGGAACGUUAGUAAUCGCGGAUCAGCAUGUCGCAGGGCCAUGCCCGGGUCUUGUACACACCGCCCGUCACACCAUGGGGAGUGGGUUUUACCAGAAGUAGUUAGCCUAACCGUAAGGAGGGCGAUUACCACGGUAGGAUUCAUGACUGGGGUAAAGUCGUAACAAGGUAGCUCC